AUUCCAGCUCUAAUAGCGUAUAUUAAUGUUGUUGCAGUUAAAAAGCUCGUAGUUGGAUUUUGGUGUUUGACAAAUGGUCUGCCUUCGGGUUUGCACUGUUUGUUGGCACUUCUUUUCUGGGGAACUCACUGCUCUUAAUUGAGGGGUGCUGUAACGCAGAUCGUUUACUUUGAAAAAAUUAGAGUGUUCAAAGCAGGCCAACGCAUUGAAUACAUUAGCAUGGAAUAAUGGAAUAGGACUUUGGUCUUAUUUUGUUGGUUUUCGGAAAUCGACUUAAUGAUUAAUAGGGAUAGUCGGGGGCAUUCGUAUUCAAACGACAGAGGUGAAAUUCUUGGACCGUUUGAAGACGAACUAAGGCGAAAGCAUUUGCCAAGAAUGUUUUCAUUG
Molecule: ribosomal RNA, 387 nt
Filed under: Leucocryptos sp.
Lineage: Eukaryota; Cryptophyceae; Kathablepharidacea; Katablepharidaceae
Description: partial small subunit ribosomal RNA
Rfam family: Eukaryotic small subunit ribosomal RNA
Source: RNAcentral